Molecule: long non-coding RNA, 7218 nt
Organism: Gallus gallus (chicken)
Lineage: Eukaryota; Metazoa; Chordata; Aves; Galliformes; Phasianidae
Exons: 5
Source: RefSeq, a predicted model, not a curated record
AGGGGUGUUGGUGCCGCGCCGCGCCGCGCCUUGGUUCCCGGAGCAGCUCGGCAGGCAUCGCUCCUCGGUGCGGCUCUGGGAGCCACCGCGGCCGUCUGUGAGGGGGGGUGGCGGUGAGGAGAGGCGGCCCCGACGGGGCCGCGGUGCAACGCACGGCGCUGGGAGCGGCCCCGGAUACCGUCCAGGUGUUUUCACAACAGUGGAAAACCGCAUUGUGUAAAGGAACAGUAAGCCAUGUGGGUAAAUGCGAACAGCAGUUUAAACGUGCAGGAAAGGAGCAUUUCCUUGUCUGCCCUGGUAAAUGGUUCUCCUACAGCCCCACGUGACGUGUCCUGUCUGCCAGCCAAGGAGGGCUGGCUGUGACAGCUUCAUGGCCCCUCAGCUCUGCUCCUCACAAUGAGCGUGAGCCUUGACAAGUCUGGAGGUCCAGCGGUGUCCAGCUGACUUGUGUGCUCUCUGGCAGUUGGGAACCAGCGCAGCGUCUGCCUGCAGCGUUUCCAGUGGUUGGAGGAGGACGAAAAGUGCACAGCCUCUGUUGCAUGAAGGUGAGAGUUGGAAUUCUGCAGAAUUUGUCCAGAUUCUGUGCUGACUUCUCGAGAAAGCAGUGAGGAAGAAGAUUAAUUGAAAUCUGUCUCAUUCGGGGUCCAAGAGUUGUGGUAGCGAAACCUUCCUUCUGCAUCCUUCUUUCUGUCACCGCUCUCAGCAUUGCUUUGGGAGAGCGUUCUGAGCUCGCUGAAUGUGAGGCUCUUCCUUUUCACUGAUCCACUCCAUAAGCAACCUGUGUUGUGAUUCAUUCAUUGAGGAUAUGGAUGUAGCAAAGCCUUACUAAUGUUCCAGAACUGUGUUUUGGAUACUGUGAGGGCUUCAGGAGUAUUGGAAAGCUUUUGAAAUCUUCAGGGCUUGCAUUAUAAGCCUUCAAAAUGUAGAAAGCCCAGUUGGGUCAGCUGUGCAGGGUACCAGAGCAGAGUGGAGAGCUGAUGACAUAAUCCAGAUAAAGCAAAAACACCCAACCUGCUGUCCAUACAUAAAGGUAUGAGAGUCUACUUGGCCGAUUCCCCUUGAAAAGCCUGCAGCUGUUUCCAUACCGACUCCCACCCACCCACCCACCUGUGAGUCCAGUGUCACCUCAGCCAGGGGAGCUUGCGUGCACACAGAAUGGAAGUGGAAGAUGAGCCCCUUCCGACCUUUAACAAAAAUAAAAUGGAGAUGGCAGUUGUUUUUCUGUCUUUAAAGACAAAAACCUUUUUUGCACAUCUUUUGGCUUGAUGACGGGAGCAGGUGUUCUCCCACAGAUACGGCUCUGUGCUGGGACCACUGCUGGCUGGUCUGGUGUGUGAAGGGUUGGUAAAUGCCCGAUGGGGAGCAAAGGUACUGGAAAGGAGUGGGCUGUUAAAUCUCGCUGGUACUGAACAAAUGUAAUAGCUGUCUUCAGUGUAAUUCAUAGCACAUAGGGGGAAUUCAGAAGGUAUUGUAUUUGUAGCUCUUAACGAACAGUUGAUUUCCUGACAUGAGUAAAUCUGUUAAAAAGCUGGGUAUGUAGCAAGCAGAUACAAAUGUCAUGGCAUAGAUUCUGUAUUGGCUGACGUGCAGGGAAGAGAGUAAUAGCAAUGCAGAGACCUCCGAGUAUGAAAUCCUAUAAAGCAUUUUUUUGGAGACAUCAGUGCUGGGGCCCAAUUUGUUGUGCCUUUUAUGUAAAACAUUUCUGCAGUUCCAUUUGUGACCCUAAACCAGGCUUUGUCAAGUCAGACCUGCGGAAUAUGGGAUGGAAGUCUUCAUUUUUAAAGCCCCGAUGAAAGACACUGAAUAACCACAAUGUGAAUGUCCUCUGCUGUUCUUACCACCAAACGCUUUGGUCCUGGACCUACUCACCGAGCUACUGAAGCGAUGUUCAAAUGGAAACAGUGAUAUGCUGGUAGUGUCCCCAUCAUGGAGGAGCACAAAGGGGUGGUCAAGGGAUAGGAGAAGAAAGGAAGAAUGUCCUUUGUUUCUUCCCUCUGGGACCUUCAAGAGCUGUUGAUAAACAUAAAGAUAGAAAAUACACACAUAAAGAUAGUAGUUCUAAGGGUUGGAAAAGAUAAUGUGAGGCACCCAAGGUUUUUCCCAGGUCAGAAAGCUUUGGAACUGUCCCAGAGUUCAGUUUCUGUGAUCUUCAUUUUGCUGAGCAGUUCAUGGCAGCAGAGAGGACUCGUUGGUGUCCGGACAAAGAGGGAAGAGGAAACCAAGCUGUAAAGAUGUGUGGAAAAGCAAGGAAUUAAUUACUGCUUGCACUGGUUGUUUGUCGCCUUACUGCCCUUCUUGCCUCCCUGGAGCCCAGCUGACUUCCUGGGAUUGCUGAACGGCUGCCUUUUGCCACCUCCUGCCUGUCGCAUCGAACACCAGGGCGAAUUGGGUGGCUCUACAUGUAACACUACAACAAACGUGACAGACGAAGACCCAUCCCUGCGGAGCAGCACUACUCCCUCCACGUUCUCCAGAACCAUCGGCGCAACCUGGGCCUGGUGGGCGGCACAUCUUCCAGCACGCUGAGGAUCAGCAGUGUCUGCAGCACCAGACAGCGCACGGCCGGCUCGCUGUCCUCCUUGGCUCCCUCCAGGGCUGCAAUGGAGCGGUGCUGUGUCACCACGUGGGCCCCACACGGCACUUCCUGGGGCACGGGGCAGCGGGGGGGGAUGGCUCACCUUUACGGAUGUCCGACAUCUUCUCCCGGUUCUCAUUCCUCAGCUUUCGCCCUAGCAGCCCUGCGCACAUGGCUGCUGUCAGCGCUCACCCGUCCCCGCGGCGCCCAGGGACCUCACAGCAUCCCAUGGACCCCCACGGUGCUCCAAGGACCUCCAAAAACCCCAUACUACCCUAAUAGUGUCCCCAUCAUCCCCAGCAACCCUUCAGUGUCUCAGGGACCCUAUGGUGCCCCAGUGACCCCUGUGGUGCCCAGCUGCCCCCAAGGACCCCAGAGACCCAACACAAUGCUUCAGUGAACCCCAUAGUGCCCCAGUAAGCCUAGUGUUGCCCUAAUAACUCCCAAGAACCCCACCAUUUCCCCAGUGACCCCCCAGGACCCCCCCUGUGCACCGACCCCACAGCAUUCAGCUGGAGGGAUGGGGACCCACUGGGGAUGGGACUCACCGAGGAAGCGCACGGCCGUGUCCCUCACGGGCACCUGGGGGCUGUGCAGGUGCAGCACCGUGUCCUUCAGGUACUGCUCCGCAUCUCUGCCCCUCUUCUGAAGCUGCAGAGAGCAUGGUGGGGGUGGCACCCGCAGAGUGGCUUCCCGACCCCCCUUCUGCAGGGGAGCAAGGGGGGUCCGGAGGGGUUGAGGGGUGGGGGUCCUUACCAGACAGUCAGCAAUCAUCCAGACCUCCGCCGCACAGGCCAAGCGUUGCAGUUGCUGCCAGCCCAGGAGCUUGGCGGCGUGGAUCAGAGCUUUCUGAGCAGCCUGGGGAGCAGUGACACAGGGGGGUGUUGGUGGGAGAUCCUGGGGGAACCCCCAUCCCAAACCUGGGUCAGCGCCAUAGCCGAUCCCGUCCCACAGGUUCUGGGGGAACGGGGUGGGGGAUGUGGGAGGGUUUUCCUAACCUUAAUGACUGUGUGGGUGGGUGAGGCGGAGGGGGGAACUGGGAGGACUGUAUGGGUGGAUAUGAGGUGGAGAUCUGGUAUCUAGGAGGACUGUACACGUGGGCACAGGGCAGGGAGUAGUUGCUGGUCACACCGGAUAACCUCGCGACCCCGUGACCCCACAAGCUGCCCCCACCUGCGCCACGUUGGGGAUGUCCUCAUUCAUGUGGAUGAAGAGUGGCAGCAGACUCCUCUCCGCCUGCAGCAGCAGCCGCUUCCUGCCUGGCGCCUCCAGCAGCAGCGCAAAGAGCUCCAUGGAGCGCCAGCGCACCUCUGCGUUGUCCUGGGAGGAAACACACACGGGGUAGUGCUGAGCUCUGCACGGUGCGGGGGCUGCUUGAAUGCUCCCCGCUGCCCUGCGUCCCUCACCUCAUUGAAGCAGGACAGCAGCUGCACGGCCAGCUGGCUGAGCACACCUCGGAUGCUGGCGGGGUGCUGUGCCGCAAUGUCCUGCAGCAGAUGUAUGGCCUGCAGUUUGAUGUCAGCCCGCAUGUCCUGCAGCCACAGCAGCGCGUCGGGUAGCAGCAGCUGCAUCCUCCCAGCAUAAAGGUUCCUCAGCCCGCGCAGCGCCAGCUCUCUGCUCUUGGGCUGUUUGCUGCGGAUGUAUUUCCUGAAGAUCUUCUGCGGGCAGGUGUCAUCCUCGUGGUGCCCCUGGCAGCUCCACAGCUGCGAUGAGUGGCGGUCAGUGGGCGGGAGGGGGCCCAUCCUCCCAAGGAGACCCCCCCACACCGUCUCCACACCCACCUCGAGGUAGAACGCCAUGGCGGGGACCUCCCUCCACUGCAGCUGGUGGUACUGCAGCAGAUUCUGCAGGUGUCUGAAGAUGGGUCUGCACUGAUCCCGGCAGUUCUUCAGCAUCACCCUGCGGGGCAGGGGGAGGGCUGAAGCCGGGCUGGGGGGCUGACCCCACUGGGUCUGGGCUGGAGUAGGGGGACCGGAACAGCCCAUGCCGCCCCACAGUGUGCUCUUCCAUCUGCCCACCGUGCCUCAGCACCCCCUGAGCACUCUCCUUGUUCCCUACUUAUUUCGGGAGCGCUGCACUUGGGGCACCGUGUAGGGCAGUGUGUGGGGCAGUGCGUGGGGCAGAGCAUGGAAGGGGUUGGGGCCGUACUUGGCAAGGGAGUGUAGGCCGUUUUGCCACGUGGCAGCGCCCUGCAGCCGCGCCCACAGGUUGUGGGUGUCCAUGGAGAACGCCAGGUUGUCCAUCUCAGCGCACAGUAGCAAACUGUGGGCCGUCUCCACCACCAUCCUGCAUGGAAACGGGGCAGCAUUGGGUCAGCACAGGGUCGGGGGUCAGAGGUCAGUGAGGGGCCAGGGCACAGUGCAGAGUCAGGGUUCAAUCAGAAGUCAUCAUGCAGUCAGGAGUCAGUGUGGGGUCAGGAGUCAGCAGGGGCUCAAAGGUCAGCGUGGGGUCAGGGGUCAGUGUGGGUGGUGCCGCGGGGUCAGAGCGGGCACUGCGGUGUUACCUGAUGGCAGAGGUGGGCGCAGAUGGGCGGAAUGGGUCCUCCGUGAUGGCGGUGAUCUCCAGCGGAGCUAGCGGCCCGGCGGACACCAGCUGGAUGAUGAGCGCCACAAAGAGCUCCGGGAAAACCAGUCGCACCUGUGGGCCGUAGUCCAGGUACUGCAGGAGCUUAUGCAGUGCCGUGGCCGCCUGCGGAAAGCACCCGGACAGCACUCAGCACUGAGCUGCUCCCCUGGGUUUGGGGGGGUGGGGGGGAGUGUUCCCAGAGGACCCCCAAACUCACGGCCGUGUGAAGGACGCCGACCUCGGUCUUCUGGCCCAGCGGCACGGUCUCCAGCUGAUGCAGCAGCGCCUGCACCAUCUUUGGCACCGCAUCCACCGAGGACAGCGCCAACUCCCACAGCUCCCAUAUGUCCCUGCGGCACAGAGCUGUCCUCAGCGGGAGCCCCUCUCUGAGUGGGGUGGGAGUCCUUCUGUAUAUGGGGUGGGUGUUGUUCUAUGUGUGGGGUGAGGGUCCCUCUGCACCACAGGUGAAGGUCCCAUGGGGGGUGGUCUCCCUCUCCGUGUGGAGUGGGGGCCUCUCUCCGUGUGGGGUGGGGGUCCCUAUCCACGUGGGGUGGAGGUCCCUGUCCUUGGGGGGUGGGGGUCCCCCUCUGCGGGGGGCGGGGGCAGCGCACUUGUCGCAGGUGGGGGAGCAGCGCAGCAGGCUGAGUGUCAUUGCGCGAGGGUUGGCGGCAGCUAGUGAGGCGAAGCUGCUGCGGAUGGUCCUCAGUGCCUGCUCCUCUGUGAUCAGCUUCCUGCUCCUGUGGAUGGCCGUCACGAUGCGCUGCACCUGGAAGGGUUGCAGGGACAGCAGAACUUCACUCCAGGCGUCCCCAGGAGUGACCAAGCGCCCUGAAGUCUCAAAUCAGACCGAUGCCGUGCAGGACAACCCAACCCAACACAGCCUUCCUGCACCCAACCCAACCCCGUUCUAACCGUCAGGACCCAACCCAACCCAACCCCACCUCCCAUGGGCUCAGCCCCCUGGCAAGCAGCUCCCAGUUGCUCACAUCAUUGGGCAUAGGGUUGAAGUCAACCGUCAGGAUGGCCAUCAAGGUGGAAGCCACCUGGGUGUUGUAGUUGCUGCAGUCCCUCAUGCCCUGCAGCGCCAGGAGGAUGAGAUCGGUCUUCUCUGAAGAGUGCAAGUGCUUCUCAAAGCGCUGGGGAGGAAUGAACGCAGAGGGGGGGAAGGAUGUCAGCCAUGCUCCCCCCACCCCCUGCGCCCAUGAGUCCUGGCGCGACAAUCCCUCCUCACCAGCAAAAUGACUGUGGUGUUGGUGGUCCAGGUGAGGGAGAACUCGUGGUCGGCUUCCCACUGCUCCAGUUUCCCCUGCUCGUCCAGCUGCCCUUCCCAGCCUGGAAAGGAGAGCAAGGCGCAGGUGCGUGAGCAGUGGCUGCCCUGCAGGGAGCUGGACAGCUGCCCCGGCCCCAAGCACGGGGCCGUGCGGCAAAGCUCCCCAGCACCAUGGGGUUCUUCACUGCUCUGAGCGGCAGCUGACGCAGAGGUCAGCAGCCGUUGCCUUACGGCUUCUCCACAGGACAAAUCUGUAGAGGUGACGGAGAGCGCUCAAAGCACAGCGGCAUGUUUUGUGCUCCUGGACAAAAGCGCAGCACAGGAUGAGGCAUCCCACCAGCUGCCCCAGCACGGGCAGGCGGAGCUCGUCAUAGCUGGCAGAUGGGGAUUGUUCCGAGGAGUGACGGGGCUGUACGUGGAGAGCAGAAAGUUGAGCGCACCCCCGGAGUGGGCAGAGCGUGGAAAAGGAGAGACAAAGACUCCACACUAUGGGGGUCGGGCCCUUACCUUCUCCUGGCAGUAAUGUGCCAGCGAAUGGGUCAGCUUCCAGAUGCGCCCCACUGCCCUCUGGCGCACGGUCGAGCUCUGUAAGGAGGUGAAGGGCAGCAGCACCUGUGGGAAGAGGAGGUGCUGCUCUGCCCUGUGGCCCCCUGGAUCACCCCAGAAGGUUUUUGGGGUGGUGGGGAUGGGGGGGGAACACUCCUCCUCUGUGUGCUCCCCAUGGGCAAGGCUCACCUGGAAGACGUCUUUCAGCUCCUCUCCGAUGCUGGUGCUGGGGUGAAUGAACACCAAUGAGUGCAGCAUCUCA